GUUUUUCAACUCGCUUUUUGGGCUUCGAAACAACAAAACUGAGUUAUAUGUCCUUCAUAUGUUUUGUAGACCUUCAUCUCAGCUAUUUGAAAAUGGUUACGAACAUCCGGAACUAAAUUGUAUAGCUUCUUUGCAGCACAUAAUGAAUCAUUGUUCAGUUUCACUGCCCGGCUCUGCCUGUUCAGUAACCUAAGAUCUGAAAACACAUUAAUUUCCCACGAGGUCAAUAGUUCAAAAAGAGAUUCAAAAUUCUAAUUGUCUUGUGCAACAUAUCCAAAAUAUUUAAAAAUCAAGCAUGAAUAGCAGAAAAUAUACAUGCUAAAAAUUCCCUUAUCAAAUACCCCCAAACUUGAAUGUUUGCUUGUCCUCAAGCAAAAAGGAAACCAUGAAAGCAUAGUGCUAAAAGCUCAUGAUAAGUUCAACUUUGACAUUUAAAAGGCUCCAUCAUGCAACAUUCACUUCUUGACUUAGCUCAUAGACAAUAUUAGAUAAUGGAAAACUAAGCAUUCCUACUCUCUGUGCAGACCGUUGUACAAACUUCCAACUCAUCCAUGUGUUUCAUGUGUUUAGCAUCCUUGAACCGUGCACAGUCAUUCUGCCAUUAUUUAUUUUUUUUUUUUUGAACAAGGUAGCCAACUUUAGGAGUAAUAACACACUUUUACUUGUCUUUUGACAAGGGUGAUUUUUUUAAAUUUAUCACUUGUCUUUUGACGCGAAUACAAACAUUUGUGAUGAAUGCACUCGGUUACUUAACAGGUCAUAAACUUAAAAUGCUUUGCAUACUCAUAUUUUAAGCUGCCGUUUGACGUAAAAGUAAACAAUUGUGAUGAAUACUCCUAGUUACUAAGCAACUCAAAACAUUGGAGUAGAUACACAUCAUAUACUUAUUCAUUCACUUUCAUACUCAUUAUCACUCCUUGUUUUGAUAUUUUUCUUAGAGGGUAAUAACAAAAAAGAACAGCACACUUAUCUCUUAUGCAUAACUACACAAUUCACCUGACUGUGCUGGAAAAGUGUACUUCAAUAAUUCAACAGAAAAUAGUCAUGCUUAAUCCAACUUUAUAAGAUAUUAUCCACUCUAAGCCUAGGAAUAUCAUGGAUACAUCAUGAAGCACCUAAAAAUGUCAAAGUUGGUCUUAAAUGCAUAUCACUUUUCACCCUCUGUUUUCAUGGUUCCAGUGUGCAGUGUUCUUUCAUAGUCAAAGCAUGCAAUGUCUCCCCCAAACUUAAAUAUCACAUUGUCCUCAAUGGAAAAACAAAGAAUAGAAAGGCCUACGAAUACUUCCUUUUGACUAUGUGGGUGUGAGUUUGUUGUUGCUCCUGGUUAUUUGCUUGUAUGAUCAAUCCCUGCACAACUCAAUAAAACAAAUAAGGUUUUUUUUUUUUUUUGGGUUGCCUCCCAAUCAGCGCUUAGUUAUAGUCAUUAGCUUGACUUUUCCAUUUAGCUAAGAUGAAGUGAGAGGGAUAUCAUCCCUUUUUCCAAUAGACUCUCCAUUCCUAUAAUGCUUCAGACACUGCCCAUUCACUGUGAAUGUUCCCUUUUCAUCAUGAGUGACCUCUACUGCUCCAUAAGGAAAUACCUUCACAACCGUAAAUGGUCCUGACCACCGUGAUUUGAGCUUACCAGGAAACAAGCGGAGCCGUGAAUUGAAAAGUAAUACCUGCUGACCAGAGACAAACUCCUUGCGUACAAUGUGUUUGUCAUGCCAUGCCUUGGUUCUUUCCUUGUAUAUCUUGGCAUUCUCAUAGGACUCAUUGCGAAAUUCAUCCAUCUCAUUAAGUUGCAGGAUUCGUUUCUCACCUGCAACCUGCAGAUCCAUGUUCAGUUGUUUCAUUGCCCAGUAUGCCUUAUGCUCUAAUUCAACAGGAAGAUGGCAUGCUUUUCCAAAAACUAAUCGAUACGGAGACAUUCCCAAUGGUGUUUUGAAUGUUGUCCGAUAUGCCCACAAUGCAUCAUCUAGCUUUCGUGCCCAAUCUUUCCGAGAAUUACUUACUGUUUUCUCUAAGAUUUGCUUCACCUCUCUAUUUGAUACCUCUGUUUGGCCAUUUGUCUGAGGAUGAUAAGCCAAUGCUCGUUUGUGUCUGACUCCAUACUUAGAUAGCAGUGCUUCAAACUGCUUGUUGCAAAAAUUAGUUCCUUCAUCACUGAUGAUGGCUCGAGGAGUACCAAAUCUGGUAAAGAUGUUUUUUCGUAGAAAAUUAAGUACCACCUUGCCAUCAUUUGUAGUCGUUGCAAUUGCCUCGAUCCACUUUGAUACAUAAUCCACUGCUAAGAGAAUGUAUUUGUUGUUAUAUGAUGAAGGAAAAGGUCCCAUGAAAUCGAUGCCCCAAACAUCAAAUAAUUCAACUUCGAGGAUAUUCUGCAGUGGCAUUUCAUUUCGUCGAGAUAUAUUCCCAGUAUGCUGACAUCUAUCACAAGCAGUAACAAAAGCAUGAGCAUCUUUAAACAUAAUGGGCCAAUAAAAACCUGACUGCAGAACUUUGGCUGCAGUACGUUGUGUUCCAAAAUGCCCCCCAUAUUCAAGUGAGUGGCAAUGCUUCAAUAUGUUUGUCAUUUCCUCUUCUGGAACGCACCUCCUGAUGACUUGAUCUGCACAAUGCCGAUAGAGUAUCGGCUCCUCCCAGAAGUAGUGUUUGACUUUAGAAAAAAAUUUCUUCUUUUGCUGGUAAGAAAAAUCUGGCGGUAUGAUUUUACCUGCAAGAAAGUUGACAUAAUCUGCAUACCAAGGAAAGAAUUUGUUAGUGGAAAUUGCUAAGAGUCUUUCAUCAGGAAAACAUUCAUUUAUAACCGUGAAUUUAGGCUCCAGCUGCUGUGCCAAUUCCAGCCUUGAAAGAUGAUCUGCCACCAUGUUCUCAGUCCCCUUCUUAUCUUUAAUUUCGACAUCAAAUUCUUGCAGUAACAGGAUCCAACGGAUGAGUCUAGGCUUGGCAUCUUUCUUAGACACUAGGUGUCUAAUUGCAGCAUGAUCAGUAUACACCAGCACUUUGUUUCCCAUCAGGUAAGGCCGAAACUUAUCAAAUGCAUAGACCACAACAAGCAACUCUUUCUCGGUUGUGGCAUAAUUGAGCUGGGCAUCGCUGAGUGUUCUGCUGACAUAGUAUAUGGUGUGAAACACAUUAUUUUUCCGUUGCCCUAGUACUGCUCCAACUGCAUAAUCACUUGCAUCACACAUAAGCUCAAAUGGUUUCUCCCAAUCCGGUGCAAUUACAAUAGGAGCUGUCACUAACUUCUUUUUCAACAGCAUAAAGGUUGUCUUGCAUUCCUCAUCAAACUGAAACUUUGUGUCUUUUAGCAGCAGACUGCAUAGCGGUUUGGAUAUUUUAGAGAAGUCUUUGAUGAACCUCCUAUAAAAUCCCGCAUGACCAAGGAAACUCCUAACCCCUUUUACUAUAGUUGGCGGCAAAAGCUUGUUUAUUGCUUCAAUUUUAGCUCUGUCUACCUCUAUUCCUUUUUCUGAAAUCCGGUGCCCCAAUACUAUACCUUCCUUUACCAUGAAGUGACAUUUUUACCAGUUCAAUAUCAAGUUUGUCUUUUCACAACGCUCCAAAACCAACGCCAACUUUGCAAGGCAGUCAUCAAAAGAAGUUCCAAAUACAGAAAAGUCAUCCAUGAAGAUCUCAAUGAUUUGCUCCACCAUAUCUGAAAAAAUAGCCAUCAUGCACCUCUGAAAGGUAGCUGGUGCAUUACACAACCCAAAAGGCAUUCUUCUGAAAGCAAAAGUACCAUAAGGGCAGGUGAAAGUGGUCUUCUCCUGGUCCUCAGGUGCGAUGGCUAUUUGGUUGUAUCCUGAAUAGCCAUCUAGGAAACAGUAGUAUUCAUGCCCAGCUAACCUGUCCAGCAUCUGAUCAAUGAAUGGUAGGGGGAAGUGAUCUUUGCGAGUUGCCUUGUUGAGCUUUCGAUAAUCCAUGCAAAUCCUCCAUCCAGUUACCGGUCUAGUAGGUAUCAAGUUGUUGUUUGCAUCUUUUACCACUGUCAUUCCUCCUUUCUUUGGCACAACUUGAACUGGGCUCACCCAUGAGCUGUCAGAGAUUGGAUAAAUAACACCAGCAUCUAACCAUUUCAGAACUUCUUUUCGGACUACCUCUUUCAUGGUCGGGUUAAGCCUUCUCUGAUGUUCUACUGUUGGCUUGACUUCAUCCUCCAACAGAAUUUUAUGCAUGCAAAUAGAGGGACUGAUGCCUUUGAUAUCUGCCAAUACCCACCCGAGAGCUGCCUUAUGUUUUCUCAACACCCUCAACAAUUUUUCUUCCUCUGUUUUGGUCAGCUUUGCAGAGACUAUCACAGGAUAGGUGGAAGCUUCUCCAAGAUAUGCAUACCGAAGGUGUUCUGGCAGAGGUUGCAAUUCCAGAACCGGUGCUUGUUCACUGGUUGAUUUUAUUUUUGGUGCUGGUUGUCCCAAAUCUUCAAAGUAUCUUCUGCGGUUAGGUUCAAAAGAGUCCAUCCAACAUGUAUAUUCUGCUAUUUCAGCAUCCUCUUCCAGUACAUUAUUUACCAAACAUGCUUCCAACGGGUCAGUUGGAAGCUUGACUUUGUCAUUAAUUAAAGAGUCCACCACUUGAAUGCUGAAGCAACUCUCCCCCAUAUCUGGCUGUUUGAUGGCUUUGAACACAUUGAAAAUCACCUCCUCUUCAUUCACCCUUAACCGCAGCUCCCCUUUCUUCACAUCAAUUAACGCACCUCCAGUGGCCAAGAAUGGCCGGCCAAGCAAGAUCGGAAUCUCAUUAUCCUCCUCCAUAUCCAGUAUGAUGAAGUCUGCUGGAAAGAUGAACUUGCCCACUUUCACCAGUACGUCUUCAAUUAUUCCCCUUGGAUGCUUCAAUGACCUGUCAGCUAGCUGCAGUGUUACUGUAGUUGGCCUUGCUUCACCUAAACCAAGCUUCUUAAAAAUAGAUAAAGGCACGAGAUUAAUACUUGCACCUAAAUCACAUAAAGCUUUUUCAAAUAUAGAAUUUCCAAUGGAACAUGGUAUAGUAAAACUCCCUGGAUCCUUAAGUUUAGGAGGCAGUUUCUUCUGCAAAAUGGCACUGCAUUCCUCAGUAAGAGCAACAGUCUCAUAUUCCUCUAGCUUUCUUUUGUUUGAGAGGAUGUCCUUUAAAAAUUUCACAUAGCUUGGCAUUUGUUCAAGAGCAUCUGCAAAAGGAAUGUUAAUCUGUAAUUUUUUAAACACAUCAAGAAAUUUAGAAAAUUGCUUAUCAAGUUUAUUCUUCUUGAGACGUUGUGGAAAUGGAAUUCUCUGCAUUAUUUCUUGCGUUGGUUCUGGCAGAGGAUCAGAUUUUUUCAUAUUCUGAAGUGGUUUGGCCACUUGCUCCUCCUCUUCUCUUCCUGCACUCUUGUUUCCAGCGGUCUGCUCCACUUCUUUUCCACUUCGUAAAGUUAUGGCCUUGCAUUGCUCCUUAGAAUUAAUUUCAGUUGUGCUUGGUAGAUUUCCUUGUUGUCUACCCGUGAGCAUGUUGGCUAACUGACCAACUUGAACCUCCAAAUUUCGAAUAGAAGCUGCUUGGUUCUGCAGAUUAGUAUUUGUUUCAGUCAUGAAUCUGCUGGUGUUGUUUGCUAAUUGUGUCAUAGCUUCUUCAAGUUUAGAUUUCUCUUUCAUGUGCUCACUUGAAGAUGGCAUGGCUGGAUUCUUCAUGACAGUUUGAUUGUUCCAUGAGAAAUUAGGAUGAUUUCUCCAACCGGGAUUAUAUGUUGCACUGUAGGGGUUGUUCUGCCGGCUAUAGUUUGACACAAAAUGAGCAUGCUCUACUUGAGAGAACGGGUUCCCAACCUGACACUCUUCACUUGUGUGAUUUCCAUGGCAAAAAUCACACGUUGUAUGGAUGGCAUUUGCUGACAGUUGAGUGGUUUUCAGUUGCUGAGUUAGUGAAUGGACUUGAGCUGUUAAUGCCGUGAUUGCAUCAAUUUCAUGCACCCCAACAGUCUUCUUCUGUAUGCUUCUUUCAUUUGGCCAUUGGUAAUUGUUCAUAGCCAUUUCUUCCAAUAAGUUAUAAGCAUCAUCCUGUGACUUACUCAUAAAAGCUCCUCCUGAAGCUGCAUCAAUUAGUGUUCUUGUGGAGGCAUUCAAUCCAUUGUAAAAAUUCUGCACCUGCAUCCACUUCGGUAGUCCAUGGUGGGGGCAUCGCCUGAGCAAAUCCUUGUAUCUCUCCCAUGCCUCAUACAAUGGUUCACUCUCAAGUUGGGCAAAGUUAGCUAUCUCAAUGCGCAUUUUUGCUGUCUUGGCUGGUGGAAAAAAUUUAGCAAGGAAUUUCUGAGCUAAAUCUUCCCAGCUGAUAACUGAAUCUGCAGGCAUGGAGUUUAACCAGUUCUUCGCUCUAUCUCACAGAGAAAAUGGAAACAGUCUGAGACGAAUGGCAUCAUCAGUAACGCCAUUAUGCUUAAAUGUGUCGCAAAUUUCCAAGAAACUUGCAAUAUGGGCGUUAGGAUCAUCACUUGGCAACCCAUAAAACUGAAUUGAGGUCUGAAUCAUCUGCAGUAUUGCUGGUUUGAUCUCAAAAUUAUUGGCCUCAAUCCUUGGUUUCCUGAUAACAGAACGGAUUCCUGUCACCUGUGGGAGAGCAAAAUCUCUCAAUGCCCGUGUGUCUUGCUCAGGAUUUUCAUUGUCUGCCAUGAUGCCUGAACUGUUUUGAGUCUCUCGCGUUUUCUUUCUUAAUCCCCUUGCAGUUCUCUCAAUCUCAGAAUUAUAAGGUAGCAACGGCUGGUUUUUGUUGCUUCUCAUGCACUAGACAACACACCUAAAGAGCUGAAGACAAAAGGCAAUCAAAUUAGAUCAAAUUUAAUUUAUAUUGAUAUUAUUAGUAAUUUUAUCUAAAAUCCCCGGCAACGGCGCCAAAAACUUGUUGGUUAAUUUCGCAAGUGCACGAAUCGUAACAAGUAAUAAAGUGAUGAGUAGAGUAUCGUCCCACGAGGAUUUGUAAAAAUUACUACUAAUUACCAAAGUCUUUUAAAUUAUGAUCUAUUUGAGGAAUCGAAUGAGAUAGUUUAUGAAACAAAAAUUAAUGAUUAAAAAAACAAACAACCAAAUGAUUAAAUAUUAAUGAAUUCAUUUGUACUGGUUCUAGGAUUUCUGACUUACCGUAACUAUGCCUAUGUGAACUUUCUCGAUUAAAUUAAUAUCUCCUAAUGUUGAUAAUCAGGUUUUCCUAAUGUAAAUAUUAAUCUCUCUCGAGCAUCGAUAAAUUAUUUCAACAACCAAAUUUCAUAUACUCUACGAAAAUUCUGAACUUGUCGAAAUCAAUUAAAUACUGUAAAACCUGUAACGAUUACAAAAGUUCCAAGGAUAUCUCUAUCCUAUAGAUUUCUUAAGAUAUUUCAAACAAUAGCUAAAACAAUUAUCACUUCUCAGUUUCAAAUUGAAUUCUAAAUCAUGCAGAUGUUGGCCAAACACACGCAAGCAUUACACAUAGAAUGAAAUACUCAACAUCUUAAUGUAAUAAUUCAAUCGAAGAAAUUGUUCACAUAUUCAUAGUAAGGUUACAUAAAAAAUCCCAGAAUAAAAGUCUACUCCAUAGUUAAAUUAAAGAGAAACAAACUUGAUACGAUGAACAUCACUCAAAAACAGAGAAUUUCCGGUGGAAGAGAUAAGUGUCCUCCCGGUCUUCAAUAUUUUUGCCUCUGUUCUUUUUGUUCCUGUUGGUGCCGCCUCCUCUGUUUUUCUUUGCUCUGUUAUAGGGUUUUCCAAGUGUCUCCUACCUCUUUUUCAGACCCCGUAACUCUUCUUUUAUAUUGUGGCUUUUCUACCCCUGCAGUAAUGAGGAAAAUUUCCUUUUCUGCAUUGCUUUCUCCUACCCAGACAUUGCGGGCCAGAUUUGAGGUAGAAAACGUGCGAAUUAAAAGAUCUCUAUUUCUGGAGAAAUUGUAGAGAAUCAAAUUUUAUUUCCAACGACACUGAUCUUGCAAUUUUUGGACCUCUGAGCGUUGAGAUAUGGGCUAUAAACCGAAACAGUCUUUGCAGUGCAGGAAUUUCGGGCUGGUUCAAUCCUUGUUUUUCAACUCGCUUUUUGGGCUUCGAAACAAUAAAACUGAGUUAUAUGUCCUUCAUAUGUUUUGUAGACCUUCAUCUCAGCUAUUUGAAAAUGGUUACGAACAUCCGGAACUAAAUUGUAUAGCUUCUUUGCAGCACAUAAUGAAUCACUGUUCAGUUUCACUGCCCGGCUCUGCCUGUUCAGUAACCUAAGAUCUGAAAACACAUUAAUUUCCCACGAGGUCAAUAGUUCAAAAAGAGAUUCAAAAUUCUAAUUGUCUUGUGCAACAUAUCCAAAAUAUUUAAAAAUCAAGCAUGAAUA
RNAcentral lists this long non-coding RNA (8280 nucleotides) under Populus trichocarpa (black cottonwood). Its description in RNAcentral is "long non-coding RNA (PTRI_LNC001201)". The stretch from base 6100 to 6203 matches the Rfam family "Plant small nucleolar RNA R71". Lineage: Eukaryota; Viridiplantae; Streptophyta; Magnoliopsida; Malpighiales; Salicaceae. The record is from RNAcentral.